RNAcentral lists this transfer RNA (67 nucleotides) under Pygmaeconus traillii. RNAcentral describes it as "tRNA-Lys". Lineage: Eukaryota; Metazoa; Mollusca; Gastropoda; Neogastropoda; Conidae. The record is from RNAcentral.
UCUUAGAUGACUGAGAAAAUAAGUAACAGAUUUUUAAUCUGUCCACAGCAAAUAUUGCUUCUAAGAG